UCGAGAAUUUUUCUCAAUGGGCGAAAGCCUGAAGGAGCGACGCCGCGUGGGGGAUGAAGGGAUUCGUCUUGUAAACCCCUGUCAUUCGCGAACAAACCCUUUUGUUUAAGAGAUAAAAGGCUGAUUGUAGCGGAAGAGGAAGGGACGGCUAACUCUGUGCCAGCAGCCGCGGUAAUACAGAGGUCCCAAGCGUUGUUCGGAUUCACUGGGCGUAAAGGGUGCGUAGGUGGCGGGGAAAGUUUGAUGUGAAAGCUUCGAGCUCAACUCGGAAAUUGCAUUGAAAACUAUCCCGCUUGAGGAUCGGAGGGGAGACUGGAAUUCUCGGUGUAGCAGUGAAAUGCGUAGAUAUCGAGAGGAACACCGGUGGCGAAGGCGAGUCUCUGGACGAUUCCUGACACUG
This 400-nucleotide ribosomal RNA is filed under the name uncultured bacterium. Its description in RNAcentral is "bacterial SSU rRNA". It matches the Rfam family "Bacterial small subunit ribosomal RNA", at positions 355 to 748 of the family's 1533-position model. The record is from RNAcentral.